GAGACAACAAUGGGUAAAAAGGACAAUCAAAUGACCAAGAUUAUCGUUCAGAUAGUGGCCCUUAAUCUCAUUGCACCCUCGAUUCCAGGGGGAAUAUGUAAUAUGCACCCCCCCCCCGCCUGAGGUAAGUGCCACAACCCAGCAAAAAUAUUAUCGAUUGCAUAAACUCUCAGACAAUGAAAUAAUAUCUGAACACUUGCCACCAAAUUUGGAUGAUACCACUGAAACACAAAGAGCAUUGUGAGUCUCUUCACAAGGGGCUAAAAAGAUGACACCUUAAACAUUAAACAAAACCAAAACAAAGAUCUAGCCUUAACGAAAGGAGAAAGCAGAAUUUUUAAAAGUACCGUAUUUUUCACCCUAUAGGACGCACUGGCCCAUAGGACGGACCUCGUUUUUUGGGGGGGAAAUGAAUAAAAAAAAAAUAUUCCCCCCUCCAGCCAUGGGGCUGGGGCGGGGGAAGCCCGAGCUUCCCCCGACCCCAGCCCCCAGAACAGGCUGCCGCCCUCAAGCCUUGCGAACCAGCGGGAACUCCCCCCAGGCGCGCAAGGCUUGCGGACACCUGCGCGAAGCACGGGGCGUCCUCUGGAGCACCGACGCCUCUCGCUCUCCAGGCUUCAGCGAAAGCCUGCAUUCACCCCAUAGGACGCACACACAUUUCCCCUUCAUUUUUGGAGGGGGAAAAGUGAGUACUAUAGGGCGAAAAAUACGGUAUACAAAAAUCGUGCGUGAUUUAGAAUUUAGCUUAGAAAAAUAGGAAGCUGCCUUAUACUGCCAGACCAUUGGUCCAUCCAGGUCAGUGUUGUCCACUUUGAGUGGCAGUGGUUCUCUAGGGUUUCUGGCAGGAAGUCUUUCCCAGCUCUGUUUGAAUGAAUAAAAAGGUUAAAGGGGAAAGUGUGCAAUCUGUCUUCAUGCAUUCUAACAUCACUCAAGUGACACAAAUGCCACAAUGCUUUUUUCCCCUUCUUAAAAAUGGACCAUUCAAGUCUCUUUGGGGCACUUUGGUAAAGCUACCGGUAUAUAACUGUACCUUAGUCUGUGUUCUGUUGUUAAAUGGAUUAUUACUUCCUCUGGUAUUGUUGAUGAAUAAGUGUACGCAAUUUAAAAAUAAAAUAAUCCUCGCCUUUGAUUUUAAAAGCGAUAUUUAAUAAAGGGCUUUAAAUUUUCCAUGCGAAAGCAUUCCCUUGAUUUACUGGCAAUCAAUAAACCAUCUUUCCAGAGAAUCCAGCACAUCAAAGCUUGUGGGACUUUCGGCACUUUUGACUGACAGGUUAUCUAGUCUGAAAUAUUA
Molecule: non-coding RNA, 1291 nt
Organism: Podarcis lilfordi (Lilford's wall lizard)
Lineage: Eukaryota; Metazoa; Chordata; Lepidosauria; Squamata; Lacertidae
Source: the annotation of a GenBank genome assembly